This 2109-nucleotide long non-coding RNA is filed under the name Panax ginseng (ginseng). RNAcentral describes it as "long non-coding RNA (PGIN_LNC014749)". Lineage: Eukaryota; Viridiplantae; Streptophyta; Magnoliopsida; Apiales; Araliaceae. The record is from RNAcentral.
UUUUAUGGAGUAACCUCCAAGUAUCUUAUAUGAUGAGUCACGAGAAUAGAGUUGGUGCUGGACUUUUAUUAUGAGGCAUAAAACCACUCCUCAACAGACCUAUAUUCGUAUUGAGCAAACAAAGUUCGUGGAGGCAAAACAAUCCUUCUUUAUAAAUUAAUACAUUUACUUCCCAAAACCUUUGAUUUCUAUAACCAACUAUCAAAGUAUUUCCCACUAGAACUAUAUAAUCUCCUAAAUAUAUUCUCAUAAUUACUGUGUUAGUAAGCCUGGUUUGGGAAGGAAUCUUUGGAAAGGAAGGAUUGUAAAAGCCAUAAUCCAGCAAAUAAACAAGAGGAAAUCAGCUUCUAAAGGUAAUUUUUUUUAAAACCUUGAGCUUAGUAUGAAGGAAUAUAAGGAAAUUUUAUAGCUUGGUUUGCCUAUGUAAUAUAUUGGGAAUUUUGAUAUUUGAUUUCUAUAUGAAAUUUUCUUUGAUGUACGUUCUAUAAGCUAUGAAGUCUAAGUCUUAUAGAUGUGAUCACCAAGUAUAUGAUAUAAUACUCAAUUGAGAAGUUAUUUCUAAAACUUGAGAAUUAGCAGAAUUUAAUAGAUGUAAAUAGGGUUUGAUAUCAUAAAAUGGAAAUCUAAUUUCUGCUAAAAAAAGCUUGUCUGGGUUUCAACUCGAAGUGGCCUGGCCGCGCCACUUCUCAAGUCAAGACCAGCGCGCCGUGCUGGUCCUUAGAAAGUGAAUUUUUUUCUUUUUUUUUUUUUGUAUUUCGAGUUUCUGAGCAUAUGUAUAGGAGUCUUGUAUUCUUUAAUAUGUUAUAUUUGGUGUCCAAAUUAUCCAUGAAUGGAUUGGUCUAUCAUGUAUGAAUUAAAUAAAUUUUCAAAUAAUUAGCUAAGAGGAGUUUUGAAAAAUAAAAGUAUAACCUAGCUUAGCUAGAAUCAUUUGAAGAUGUGUAUAUGUACGAUGUGCUUAUAAUGGUUCAGAUAAUGUCUAGCUAUAAGGAAAUAGACUUUGUUUAUCAUGUUCUGACAAAGUUUCCAAAUAAAGAACUAAAAUUUAUUUUAAAAAGUCAACUUGGAAGUAUUUUAAUGGAGACCUGAUUUGGUCUAAAACACCCCGAUUUAUGUGAAUAAUAUGAUAGCUUUAUUUAGAAAGGAACCUAGCAUAAUAUGGGUUGAGCAGAGCAUGAAAUAGCUCAGUUCAUAGCCUUAGAUGGAGUAGCGCGACCGCGUCACUGCUAAGCUUAUUUUUAAUACGGCAGCGCCGUGCUGCUGAGAUUUCAAGACAGGUUUGUUAUUUGUCUAAACCAUGUAGUAUACCUAAGCAAGUCCCUUAAACUGUAAUAAGAAAUUAACUUAUGAAGUGCUUAGCUUGUUCAAUUAUAGAAUGACUAGUCUAAACAAAGAUUUUUAAAAAGAAUGGCAAGACGAAUAAAAGGAAAUAAAAAGAGCAAGAUUAAAAAUCAAUAUACGUUAACGAGUUACACUAAGUUAAUAUGAUUUGAAUAUAUGUGUGUGUGACUGAUAUGUGCAUAUGAACUAAAUUGGUACAGGAUAUGUGAAGCGCAGGUAACCGUACGUUGUAAUUUUUGCGCAAGGCAAGUCUUUCAGUUCCUAUUUGCUAUAUGGGCUUUACAUGAUUAUAUGAAUUAUAUAAUACAAUUGUGGAAUGAUGAAGGUCAAUGGUUGACUAAAUCUGAUUGAGUUUUGGAAACUCCGUCUUAAAUUUAUAUUUGAUAUUAAUGUGUUACAUAUGUUGCUUAAAUUGUAUUAAUCUUGAGAUAUGAUUUGGGCAUGUUAUUAUGUGAAGCAUGGAAAUUGUUAGAUUUGUUGAGCUGUCGAGCUCAAUCUUAUAAAAAUAAACUUUUUGCAGAUCCAAGGUUCAAUGUUAUACUACUUAUUAUCUAGAAGACAUGGAUAUGAAGAUGUGCAAUGGAAUAUUGUUUCCUUUAGUUGAAACUUAGAUGGUACUAUGAUGAUGAUGUACAAGAUAUAGAUGUAUAAAUUUCUUAAAUGUUCAAUGAAUGGAAAUAUUUGUUUUGAAAUGAGAAUGUAUUGUGGUUAUUGUUUAUAUGUAGAAUUAUAUAGGUAGCGCAUCAAUAUAAAAGAUGUUAAGCAUUGGGA